CACUAACAGUAAACUUACCUUUUUACCCGCUUACCAGUAUAUCUGGGGGUCCAUAGGGAUCCUCUCUACGCGGGGACCCAAUAUCCAAUUUAUCAAUUAAUCAGUUGUUCCCAUACCCAGUCUGGUAAUUGAUGCCAAAUAUACCACCAUCUCAAUACCUCGUCCAGUAUGAGGGUCAUCUAUACCUCCAACCCCCUUUUAGUAUGGGAUUUCUCAGUCCCGUUCGACUGAGGUAAUGUCCACGGUAUGAUUUUUACUAUGCACCAAGUCCGUACACCCUUUUCCAGGGUACCCGAUGAGCCUUUUACACAUAUAUCCAUAUCACCAACCAAUCGCCAAUUACAUACCAAUAUUUCAUAUUUACAUAUCAACAGUAAGCUAUGCAAAUAGACAUUACGU
This 399-nucleotide long non-coding RNA is filed under the name Carica papaya (papaya). RNAcentral's name for it is "long non-coding RNA (CPAP_LNC007222)". The record is from RNAcentral. Lineage: Eukaryota; Viridiplantae; Streptophyta; Magnoliopsida; Brassicales; Caricaceae.